This 71-nucleotide transfer RNA is filed under the name Fidelibacterota bacterium. Its description in RNAcentral is "tRNA-Gln". It matches the Rfam family "tRNA". Rfam says of the family: Transfer RNA (tRNA) molecules are approximately 80 nucleotides in length. Their secondary structure includes four short double-helical elements and three loops (D, anti-codon, and T loops). Lineage: Bacteria; Pseudomonadati; Fidelibacterota. The record is from RNAcentral.
UCGGGGGUCGUCUAAUGGCAAGACAUCGGCCUUUGGCGCCGAGAAUUGGGGUUCGAGUCCCUACCCCCGAG